RNAcentral lists this unclassified non-coding RNA (272 nucleotides) under rhizosphere metagenome. Its description in RNAcentral is "partial ribosomal RNA internal transcribed spacer region". The record is from RNAcentral.
AAAUUCAAAACUCCGUGGGCUAGGUUGGACGCGCUAACCCGUGUUCAGCUCCCCAGAACCACACCCUUGUGAACGUUUAAUGUAUUUUGGCGAACCCUUGGCGCGGUUACCCGCGCUUUGAAUUCAAAGCUAUAGAAAAAAGUUGAAAGAUGAUUUUCACUAGCUAGGAAUUUUGGAUCGCCAGUCUAUGGCACACUCCUAUAUAUAUAAUCACUGAAACCAAAAAAGAGAAACAAUGAGAAACAACUUUAGACAACGGAUCUCUUGGCUCU